CUUCACCGAACCCAGCCACAGCGGCUCGCCCUCGCCCCUGCCCUGGCCGUAGGUCGCCAGCAGCGCCUGCGCCUC
This 75-nucleotide antisense RNA is filed under the name Streptomyces zhaozhouensis. RNAcentral describes it as "ASpks TB sRNA". It matches the Rfam family "ASpks TB sRNA". Lineage: Bacteria; Bacillati; Actinomycetota; Actinomycetes; Kitasatosporales; Streptomycetaceae. The record is from Rfam by way of RNAcentral.